RNAcentral lists this small nucleolar RNA (133 nucleotides) under Castor canadensis (American beaver). RNAcentral describes it as "Small nucleolar RNA SNORA51 (ENSCCNG00000005506.1)". It matches the Rfam family "Small nucleolar RNA SNORA51". Rfam says of the family: ACA51 is a member of the H/ACA class of snoRNA that guide the sites of modification of uridines to pseudouridines. Lineage: Eukaryota; Metazoa; Chordata; Mammalia; Rodentia; Castoridae. The record is from Rfam by way of RNAcentral.
AGCCCCCUGGUGCUUACCGCAGGCUAUGUUCUUACACUUGACUCUAUAGAAAGAGGAAGCAAAGAAAAUCUACCCCAUAUACACCUCAGCCCAGGUCCUGUGCCUGGUCUGUAUUGUGAAUGGGGUGGGGAAA